UCCUACGGGAGGCAGCAGUGGGGAAUUUUGGACAAUGGGCGAAAGCCUGAUCCAGCAAUGCCGCGUGUGUGAAGAAGGCCUUCGGGUUGUAAAGCACUUUUGUCCGGAAAGAAAUCCUUGGCUCUAAUACAGUCGGGGGAUGACGGUACCGGAAGAAUAAGCACCGGCUAACUACGUGCCAGCAGCCGCGGUAAUACGUAGGGUGCGAGCGUUAAUCGGAAUUACUGGGCGUAAAGCGUGCGCAGGCGGUUUGCUAAGACCGAUGUGAAAUCCCCGGGCUCAACCUGGGAACUGCAUUGGUGGCUGGCAGGCUAGAGUAUGGCAGAGGGGGGUAGAAUUCCACGUGUAGCAGUGAAAUGCGUAGAGAUGUGGAGGAAUACCGAUGGCGAAGGCAGCCCCCUGGGCCAAUAUUGACGCUCAUGCACGAAAGCGUGGGGAGCAAACAGGAUUAGAUACCCUGGUAGUCCACGCCCUAAACGAUGUCAACUAGUUGUUGGGGAUUCAUUUCCUUAGUAACGUAGCUAACGCGUGAAGUUGACCGCCUGGGGAGUACGGUCGCAAGAUUAAAACUCAAAGGAAUUGACGGGGACCCGCACAAGCGGUGGAUGAUGUGGAUUAAUUCGAUGCAACGCGAAAAACCUUACCUACCCUUGACAUGGUCGGAAUCCCGCUGAGAGGUGGGAGUGCUCGAAAGAGAACCGGCGCACAGGUGCUGCAUGGCUGUCGUCAGCUCGUGUCGUGAGAUGUUGGGUUAAGUCCCGCAACGAGCGCAACCCUUGUCCUUAGUUGCUACGCAAGAGCACUCUAAGGAGACUGCCGGUGACAAACCGGAGGAAGGUGGGGAUGACGUCAAGUCCUCAUGGCCCUUAUGGGUAGGGCUUCACACGUCAUACAAUGGUCGGAACAGAGGGUUGCCAACCCGCGAGGGGGAGCUAAUCCCAGAAAACCGAUCGUAGUCCGGAUUGCACUCUGCAACUCGAGUGCAUGAAGCAGGAAUCGCUGGUAAUCGCGGAUCAGCA
RNAcentral lists this ribosomal RNA (1019 nucleotides) under uncultured Burkholderia sp. Its description in RNAcentral is "bacterial SSU rRNA". It matches the Rfam family "Bacterial small subunit ribosomal RNA", at positions 337 to 1354 of the family's 1533-position model. The record is from RNAcentral. Lineage: Bacteria; Pseudomonadati; Pseudomonadota; Betaproteobacteria; Burkholderiales; Burkholderiaceae.